Molecule: non-coding RNA, 5469 nt
Organism: Xyrichtys novacula (pearly razorfish)
Lineage: Eukaryota; Metazoa; Chordata; Actinopteri; Labriformes; Labridae
Source: the annotation of a GenBank genome assembly
UGGGCUUAAGGUUUGAGAUUCUAUUGAACAUGAAGUAGUUUGGUGCCUUUUAUUAUCAAUGUAUCCCUCCUCCUGUAUAAUUUUGAACUAAGUUUUUCCAUCCUAAAACCUCAAAAACAAAGAAAUCAUAUGAUGGAUGAUUCUCCUAUUUUGUCUUGUCACAGAUAUAUGUGGGGACAGACUCCUGAAGUAAUCAGCUUGACUAUAGUUGUAUGGUCACUUAGUUGGCAUUGUGUAGUUAUAGUUGACCUUAUUCAGUUUUUAAAAGAUAUUUUUCAGCAUUUGCUCUUUGACUAUCUGUCUAGUGAGUCUAUUAAUGUUUUUGAUACUGAUUUCAUGUUGUGGUGCCUGUGAAUAUAUAUUUGGUGAAUAAAUUCCUUUUGCUUAUUUGAUCUUGCGAAGUAUUUUCUCACCAAACAUGAGCAAGAGGCAAAAAAAUACAUGAUAAACUCUCUUCCAUUGAUGCUGAACCCUUUUCAGUUUGUGAUGCUUUGGAAUCACUACUGUCUAUCUGCUUAUAGUCUUUACAUCCUACUUCUUUAGUUUGGUUUCAGUGAUUGUUCACAUUUAAUUGAAAUUAUUAAGUUUUUCCUCUUUAUUGACAAAGUAGUGUGUCAAGAUGUGAUGUGAAAAUUUCUUUCCUCACGCAGUGUUUGCUCAUACUAAGACCUGUGUAAGAGGUAUGCUUUUUCUUCUGAGUUGACAAAAUCAUCACAGUACUCAUGGUAAAUGGAUUUUUAUCUGCUGUAAAUUGUGUGUGAGAAUAUCACUCUUUGAUAGUUUGUGCUUGUAAACACAUCGUAUGUCCCCGAUGUCCCAAAACUGCCAGUAGUCCUUCAGGAGACACAGCGAGAACGAUAACAUGUCUUUGUUUUCCCCUGAACAUUGAGGAGACGGGGUUGGUGGAUGUUUCUUAAAUAUGCACAGAAAAGAUCUAUCUUGCUGUCAUGCCUGAAGCUCACUCAUGGUGUCAGUGUGUACUAGCUAACGAGAGAACACAGUCAUUCUCCACCCUUUUGUUUCAACGACAGUAUAUCCUGUCUGUGCUUUUGUAGUGAGCUUGUUCGUGUUGGAGAACUGUAAAAAGGUUUUCAUCGCAGAAUCUAGUGUGAGGUAAAUGUGAUCUGUACUAAGGUUUUUUUUGCCCGUCUGUUGGAUUUUUAUUGACACUAACGAUGGGAUUUAUUGGAUUCAUGCUGCAUGGCGGCCUAGCUGUUAUUUUUCUCGCCCUCCACCUCGUCUUCGGGGACGUGAGCUACUCCAUUCCGGAGGAGAUGAAACGCGGAUCUGUUAUUGGAAAUAUUGCGAAGGAUCUGGGACUGGAAUCGGGAAGACUGUCGGCUCGCAAUGCCCGCGUUGAUACUGAGGACAACAGUGUGAAGUACUGCAGCGUGAAUCUGAACACCGGAGAAUUAAUGGUGCAAGAAAGGAUCGACAGAGAGGGUCUUUGUGCGAAAAGAGCAUCAUGUGUUCUGAAACAAGAGCUCGUCCUGGAAAAUCCUUUAGAGGUGCACCGAAUAAAUAUCCGCGUUCAAGAUAUCAACGAUAAUUCACCUCAAUUUAAAGAAGAACAACUAAAAUUUGAAAUUCGUGAAUCCGCGGACAAGGGUGCGCGUUUCCUUCUGGGAGAGGCACACGAUGGAGACAUCGGGGAAAAUGCAGUACAGGGCUAUUCUCUUCAGCAGAAUGAUCAUUUUAAAUUAAAUGUACACACGAAAGGAGGUGGGCGAAAAUAUGGUGAACUGGUGUUAGAUAAAGAAUUAGACAGAGAGGUCACACAAGAGCUCAAGUUGUUACUAACUGCAUUUGAUGGAGGAUCUCCUCGUAGAUCAGGUACAGUCGUCAUUCACGUCACUGUACUGGAUGCUAAUGAUAAUGUACCAGUGUUCAGUCAGGCCGUUUAUAAAGCCAGUCUGCCUGAAAACUCUCCUGUAGAUACACUGGUGAUCACAGUGAGUGCUACUGAUGCAGACGAGGGUUCAAACAGUGAAAUCACAUAUGGAUUCGAUGAUGUUUCAGAUGACAACAACAUAUUUACUUUAGACUCUAAAUCCGGAGAAGUGACAGUAGCUGGUAACAUCGAUUAUGAAAAAGAAUCGUCAUAUGAAUUACAGAUAAGUGCGAAAGAUGGUCUAGGACUGAUUUCAUAUGCAACCCUAUUAAUUGAUGUCACUGACAUAAACGAUAACGCUCCAGUGAUAUACGUGAAAUCACUGACUAACCCCAUACCUGAGAACGUGUCACCUGGUACAGAGGUGGGCAUCAUUAACGUGCAGGACAGAGACUCUGAUAGUAACAGACAGGUCCGCUGCUCCAUUCCUCAAAAUGUCCCUUUUAAGUUGGUUCCUUCAAUUAAAAACUAUUAUUCUCUGGUGAGCACAGGACAACUGGACCGUGAACUAGUGUCUGAUUACAACAUUACAGUCAGUGCCACUGACGAGGGCUCUCCACCUCUGUCGUCGUCUAAAACUGUUCAGUUAUCUGUAGCAGACAUCAACGACAACCCACCUGUGUUUGAGGAGCAGUCGUACAGCGCAUAUGUGAGUGAGAAUAACAAAGCUGGCUCCACUUUAUGUUCCGUUAGUGCUCGAGACCCCGACUGGAGACAGAACGGUACAGUGAUUUAUUCUCUGUUAGGCGGUGAGGUGAACGGUGCCCCGGUGUCCUCCUAUGUGUCAGUGAACGGAGACACGGGGGUGAUCCACGCUGUGAGGUCGUUUGAUUAUGAACAGUUCCGGAGCUUCAAAGUUCAGGUGAUGGCCAGAGACAACGGUUCUCCUCCUCUCAGCAGCAACGUGACCGUGAGUGUGUUCAUAUCAGAUGUGAAUGACAACUCUCCUCAGAUCCUGUACCCCGGGCCAGAGGGCAAGUCGUUCAUGACCGAGCUGGUCCCCAAAGCUGCACACGGAGGCUCUCUGGUGUCCAAAGUGAUAGCGGUGGACGCGGACUCUGGACAGAACGCCUGGCUGUCGUAUCAAAUAGUGAAAUCCACUGAUCCGGGACUUUUCACUAUUGGUGUCCACAGUGGAGAGAUCAGGACCCAGCGGGACAUUUCUGAAUCUGACAGCAUGAAACAGAACCUUGUAGUGUCAGUGAAAGAUAACGGGCAGCCCUCUCUGUCUGCCACCUGUUCCAUGUAUUUACUGAUUUCUGAUAACUUGGCUGAGGUGCCAGAACUGAAGGACAUUUCUUAUGAUGAGAAGAACUCCAAACUGACCUCUUAUCUGAUCAUCGCGCUGGUGUGUGUGUCAACGUUUUUUCUGACCUUCAUCAUCAUCAUCCUUGGUGUGAGGUUUUGUCGCAGGAGAAAGCCCAGACUGUUGUUUGACGGAGCAGUGGCCAUCCCCAGCGCGUAUCUCCCUCCUAAUUACGCAGAUGUUGACGGCACAGGAACUUUACGCAGCGCUUACAAUUAUGACGCCUACCUGACAACAGGGUCUCGAACCAGUGACUUUAAGUUUGUGUCAUCGUACAAUGACAACACACUGCCAGCUGACCAGACUCUGAGGAAAAGUCCAUCAGACUUUGCUGAAGUGUUUGGAGACUGUGACGACUCUCCUGAGGUAGGAACACUUGCUAAAUAUAGUGUCAUGUGGUUAUCUCGAAAGUUUGAGAUAGUUUCAUGUAUUCACUUAUACCAUUCAGAAGAUUUUUUUUUGUGUUUUUUUGUGGAUUGUGUUAAAAACUCUUCUCUUCAAGCCUGAAAGUGUCGAUGUUUCCUUCAGUUGUAUCUAACCAGUAAUAAUUUAUGUAUACCGUGAUACUUAUUUUAGAGUUGUAUUUAUUAGCCUUUGUACCAGUGCCAUGAGUAUCCACUCGUGAUCAAGCGUUGUUUCAUUCACACAUUCUCCUUUUGUGUGCGUUUGAGGUUUUAAUCUUUUGCAGUCACCUUUCAUUUUGCUGAUAUCCAGUAUUUGUAUAAGUUCCUGUAAUCUUCAAGCAUGAAACAUGAAGAAGAGAACAUUUAUAGAAUACUUAAUAAUUUAAAAUUGUUUUUUAAAAUUUGGUCUGCUUUUGAUGAUUGGUUGACAAUAUUUAAGGAACCCCCCCCCCCCCCCCCCUUUUUUUUGCUUUGUUUAUCACCGUUCAGUCACCGCAAUUUGUCGAUGUUAUUUCGUGUUCUUAUACUCUUUUUGCUUAAAGAUCACUCACCCAUCAUCUUUACCAAUAGUGCAUUAUCGUCAGUGUGUUAUUGUAACACGGCCGUGGAAUUGCUCUUACCUGUCAUUUAUAUGAAAAAGGCAAAAGAAAAAAGAAAUUAAAUGGUGUUCUUAGAUGGGAAAGUUACUAGCCAGUUUUAUUGAUGAUUCCUUGACACACUGUACAAUAUAAGGUAAUUAAAAAUACAACAGAUUAUGUAAGGGUGCGAUAGAAACCUUUAAAAAGCUUUUAUGAAAAUCACACCCAAUAAACAUAGUCAUGUUAACAUGAAACCACCAAGACAAAUAAUAUCGGAGUUCACAUAUAUGUAGCUACAGUUAUUAGUUUUAAAAAGAAGGGCACAACUGUAGAAUUAAAACGUGCCUUAUAUUUUAGGAAACAAGAAUAGCUAACAUUGUCUUUCAAUGUCGAUUAAUGUUCCAAUGUUUUUGUUUUUGACAGCCGAGAGUCUUUUUUUUUGUCGCCAAUGACACAGACGGAGCAACCAGCUAAACAAGUCCAUGCUAUAGUGUGACACCUUAAUACCUCGCUUAAAUUUGAUGCAGAGUUGAAUGGUGUGUUUGUAUCUCCCGAAAAGACUGCUAAAAUAUAAUACCCAUUGAUGUUUCCGUCACUUGUUGUUAAAUGAUUCACAGUUCAAAGAAUAUAUAUUUUUUUACACUUUAGUCCACAGAGUAUUUGUAAACAAGAUCAGUAAUUUUCCAGUUUCCUUACGGUACCAAAGCACGUGCUGUAACUUUUCAGGUCACAAAUCUUGUGGUACGUCCAUUAACACUUUAAAUAUAUAAAAUAUAUGUAUUCCUCGUUCAGUCUGUCCCGUCACUUUCUUUUGUAAAUAUUAGGAUAAAUCUUUGAGUCUACGUUAAAGAACUCAAACGCUGUCCAUGGUGCUGAAAUAUCUGUUCCAUUUUGGCUCUCAUUAAGCCAAACUUCGAACAUCCCUACCAGAUCAUUUAAUUUAACGUCUUAACUGUGAAGUAGUGGCAGUGGUGUUGGUAUUUGAACUGUCUGAUAUAACUUUAUGGGUCCAGUAGUUGUUUGUUUUGCAGUAUCCCAAAUUCACUCACGGCGUCGCUGCUCACUCGCGGAUGUGAGACAGUAAAAUUCUCCACCCACUGCAGAAGGAGUCAUCGUAGCUUUCUAACCAAGGCUGCCGUCGUUCCACGGAGGUUCAUAUUCCUUUCACCGCUUGGUUUAGGUUGUAUACGUGAAAAGUAAAACCAACAGUUUUGAUCCUUUUUCGAGAAGUGAAAAACAUGGACCUCAGGAGGAAGCCUCGGUUGUUCUUUCUGUGCUGCCUCUCUUUUU